CAGACGCCCCAGAUUGAACCAAUAAUUCAAAAAACUUGAGAAUCCUACCAUAAAAAAUUCAAACCCUAUUUCAGACCGUUGAAGAAUCAAAAUCCCAAAUCUCUCUCACCACAUUCUCCCAUUUCUCUCUCCCGAAUUCAUCACUCCAUUUCUGCAAAUCUUCUUCUCCUCAUACUACUUCUUCAUCUUCACAGAUUUCACAGUUGCUGAUAUACUCACAAUGGACGUUCGAACCCUAGAAAAGCUAUGCGACAAUUUUGAUCAAGCAGUCACCAUUUCUGGGGACAAUUUGAAGGAUUCACCCAUUCCAAAUGGGGUUAAAGUCGACAGAAUUUCUGAGUCAGCGGAUGAGAGUAAUGGUUCACAUUCUACUGCAGAAGUAUGUUCAUCUCAAGAGCAUACUCUUCCAAUUCUUACAAAGAUUGAAGAUCUUAGAAACAAAGUGCUCGACUUGAGGAAAGAACAGGCAGCAUUACGUAAUGAAGUCAAGAGCAUGAGUGUGGACUCUUUUCCUGGUUCUGAAGCCUCUAACACUCUUCAGCACAUGAGUGUCCAACAUGAACUUCUAAAAAAGAAGUAUGAUGAAGAGUGUGAACUACUGAAGAAGAAGUAUCUGGAGGAGUGUACUGAAAGAAAACGUCUAUACAAUGAAGUGAUCGAGCUCAAAGGAAAUAUCAGGGUCUUCUGUAGAUGUAGACCUUUAAAUUCAGAUGAAAUUGCAAAUGGAUCAACAUCUGUGGUCGAAUUUGAUCCAUCUCAUGAAAAUGAACUGCAGAUCUGUGCAGGUUCCUCUAAAAAGCAGUUUAAGUUUGAUUAUGUGUUCAAACCUGAGGACAACCAAGAUGCCGUCUUUGCUCAAACUAUGCCCAUUGUGACCUCUGUUUUGGAUGGAUAUAAUGUCUGCAUAUUUGCCUAUGGACAAACUGGGACGGGGAAGACGUUCACCAUGGAGGGGACACCAGAAAAUAGAGGAGUCAACUACCGGACUUUAGAGAAGCUAUUUAGCAUAUCUAGUGAGAGAAGCAGUAUCAUGAAAUAUGAGUUGUCCGUCAGCAUGUUAGAGGUUUAUAAUGAGAAGAUAAGAGACCUCCUGGUAGAGAACUCAAACCAACCAGCUAAGAAGUUGGAGAUUAAACAAUCGGCAGAGGGAACUCAGGAAGUUCCAGGACUUGUGGAAGCUCGUGUAUAUGGUACAGAUGAAGUAUGGGAAACUUGUCAAAGUCCGGGAAGCCGGGCUAGGAUCUGUUGGAUCAACUAGUGCUAACGAGCUUAGCAGCCGUUCUCACUGCUUACUGCGGGUGACUGUUGUGGGGGACAACUUGAUUAACGGCCAGAGGACUAGGAGCCACCUUUGGCUUGUUGACCUCGCUGGCAGUGAGCGCGUGGGACGGAUAGCAGUUGAAGGUGAGAGGUUGAAGGAGUCACAGUUCAUAAACAAGUCAUUGUCUGCACUUGGGGAUGUCAUUUCUGCACUAGCCUCUAAGACAGCUCACGUUCCAUACAGGAAUUCAAAGCUCACUCAUAUGCUGCAGAGUUCUCUGGGAGGAGAUUGCAAGGCGGUCAUGUUUGUCCAAAUCAGCCCUAGUACAACAGAUUUGGGAGAAACUCUAUGCUCUUUGAAUUUUGCAAGUCGAGUCCGAGGAGUUGAACAUGGCCCUGCUCGCAAACAGACAGACCUUGUAGAGCUCAUGAAGCAUAAACUACUGGCAGAAAAAGCCAAGCAAGAUGAAAAGGAAACCAAAAAAUUGCAGGACAAUUUGCAGUUUCUGCAGCUGAAACUUGCUAACAGAGAACAGACAUGUAGAAAUCUUCAGGACAAGGUUCGUGAUCUUGAAAACCAAUUGGCAGACGAGAGGAGAACACGUCUAAAACAAGAAAGCAACGCUUUCCCUGGAGUUUCUAGAGAGUUCGCUACCAUAUCAGCUUUAAGCCAAUCACCGAAGAUCAUAACAGAGAAGAAACCACCACUGGCUCCUUCAAAAGCACUGAGAUUGCCACUACGAACUAGCAAUUUUUUGCCCCCGCCAUCCCCUCUUCCUCGUCCAGCAAAAGCUAGGAAGUCAUUUGUGCCAUCACGUGGCAAGGAAAAUUUGGCAAGCACAUCAACGACAACUGCAAUUCUGAAACCAAGGCGAGGAUCUAUUGCUGUAGUUAGACCAUCACCUCAAGGAACAAAGCAGGUUUUGCAGCCCAAAAGGCGGGCUUCUAUUGCAACCCUUCGCCCCGAGUCUAACAUAUCAACUUUCAAUGGCUCUGCUGCUCGACCAAGGAAUAAGCGUCUCGGUCGGAAAUCAUUUGUCUGGGAUACACAAAGAAUGUGGCAGACUUCAAGAGUGCUUUCUCCAAUUGCUCAAGAAAAGGAAACCUCAUUCGCCACACCCAGAGAGGCAACCCCUGGUUCAAAACAAAGCAGUAAAUUCAUGAGAAGUCCUCCUUCACAAGCAGGUUCAUGGAGGCCCAAGCAUCCAACAGUUCUUGCUAUAAAGAAGCAAAUCGUGUGGAGUCCUCUGAAGAUGAAGGCCAUGAGAAGUAGGCAAUAGGCAACAAGUCUCUUAAGAUGAAGGCCUGAGAAGUAGGCAAUAGGAUGUCUAUGUGUUUUGAAUGAUGUUAGAAAGUUCAUACUAUUCCAGGAUGAGUACAGAUUUCUUUCUGUUCUUUCCCCUCCCUGAUUUUAUUUGCACAGUGUAUGCCUCUUGCUUACUUUUAGUAGGGGAAAACUUUAGCCAUGAGAUUUGCUCAUCCAUUGUGUGCUUUUUUGAUAUGUGCGUGAUAAGCUACUAUACUCGAUUUGUAGCUCC
This is an RNA transcript of Nicotiana attenuata, 2798 nucleotides long. It is a transcript of the gene named kinesin-like protein KIN-14S, with no coding region annotated. The record is from RefSeq and is a predicted model, not a curated record. The transcript has 12 exons. Lineage: Eukaryota; Viridiplantae; Streptophyta; Magnoliopsida; Solanales; Solanaceae.